This 252-nucleotide ribosomal RNA is filed under the name uncultured bacterium. Its description in RNAcentral is "partial 16S ribosomal RNA". It matches the Rfam family "Bacterial small subunit ribosomal RNA", at positions 524 to 776 of the family's 1533-position model. The record is from RNAcentral.
UACGUAGGGUGCGAGCGUUGUCCGGAAUUAUUGGGCGUAAAGCGCGCGCAGGCGGUCAUUUAAGUCUGGUGUUUAAACCUUGGGCUCAACCUGGGGUCGCACUGGAAACUGGGUGACUUGAGUACAGAAGAGGAAAGUGGAAUUCCACGUGUAGCGGUGAAAUGCGUAGAUAUGUGGAGGAACACCAGUGGCGAAGGCGACUUUCUGGGCUGUAACUGACGCUGAGGCGCGAAAGCGUGGGGAGCAAACAGG